GUUCAGCACUAAGUCACUUUGUCUUUAUGGCAAAUGUGAGAUGCAGUGUAUGGAAUGUCAAAUUUCUAGUAUGAGAAAUUAACGAUUUAAGUCCUUCUUAAAUGAGGCCAUUUACCCAUAGAGGGUGCCAGGCCCGUAUAACGUUAAUGAUUACUAGAUGGCAUUUCCAAAGAGUCGUGUUGCUUGAUAGUGCAGCACUAAGUGGGUGGUAAACUCCAUCUAAAACUAAAUAUAACCAUGAGACCGAUAGUAAACAAGUACCGUGAGGGAAAGUUGAAAAGAACUCUGAAUAGAGAGUUAAAUAGUACGUGAAACUGCUUAGAGGUUAAGCCCGAUGAACCUGAAUAUCCAUUAUGGAAAAUUCAUCAUCAUGAUUUUAAUAUUUAUAAUAUUAUAAGAAUGGUGUGCAUUUUUUCUAUAACGGACAUUGUAAUCUAUUAACAUAAACAUAUUUAUCAUAAGAUCAAUGAUGCGUAAGUUUAUUCAAAUUAUUUUGCUUGCAAUUUAACAUAGAAUAAAUGCUCUUGAUUUGAUAAAGUGUUGAUAGAUUUAUUGUAUAUAGUGCUUGAAUAUUUAUAUUCUAUAAUAGCAUAUUAAUCAUUGGUUUUUAUGUUUAUUAUAUGCACUUAUAUGAUUAACAAUGCGAAAGAUUCAGGAUACCUUCGGGACCCGUCUUGAAACACGGACCAAGGAGUCUAACAUAUUUGCAAGUUAUUGGGCAUAAAAACCUAAUAGCGAAAUUAACAUAACUUUAAUGGGAUUAGUUUUUAGAUUAUUUUUAAUAGUCUAUUAAUUCAAUCCCGGGG
RNAcentral lists this ribosomal RNA (806 nucleotides) under Notochaeta sp. SNK-2009. Its description in RNAcentral is "eukaryotic LSU rRNA". It matches the Rfam family "Eukaryotic large subunit ribosomal RNA", at positions 107 to 766 of the family's 3401-position model. Lineage: Eukaryota; Metazoa; Arthropoda; Insecta; Diptera; Sarcophagidae. The record is from RNAcentral.